RNAcentral lists this ribosomal RNA (520 nucleotides) under Idiotarsus sp. 1 BMNH 703097. Its description in RNAcentral is "partial 16S ribosomal RNA". The stretch from base 385 to 520 matches the Rfam family "Archaeal large subunit ribosomal RNA", at positions 2542 to 2679 of the family's 2987-position model. The record is from RNAcentral. Lineage: Eukaryota; Metazoa; Arthropoda; Insecta; Coleoptera; Eucnemidae.
CAUGUCUUUUUGAAUAUGAUUUAAGGUUUAAUCUGCUCAAUGAGGUUUUAAAUGGCUGCGGUAUUUUGACCGUACAAAGGUAGCGUGAUAAUUAGUUUUUUUAUUGAAAGCUGGUAUGAAUGAUUGGACGAGAGAUAAACUGUCUCAAUAUAAUUAAUUAGAAUUUAACUUUUAAGUUAAAGGGCUUAAAUUAAAAUGAAAGACGAGAAGACCCUAAAGAGUUUAACUUAAAUAAUAUUUUUACUUUAUUGAUAUUUUUGAUUUAAAUUUUAUUUUUGUUUGAUUGGGGUGAUUAAAAGAUUUAUUUAACUCUUUUUAAUUUAUACAAUGAUUUUUGAUUAGUUGAUCUGUAUUUUACAAAUUUAAGAAAUAAAUUACCUUAGGGAUAACAGCGUAAUUUUCUUUGGAGUUCUUAUUUAAAAGAGAGUUUACGACCUCGAUGUUGGAUUAAAAUUUAUAUUUGGUGAAGUAGCUGAAUAAUUAAGUCUGUUCGACUUUUAAAAUUUUACAUGAUCUGAGU